GCCUGGGUGGCUCAAUCAGUUGGGCAUCCGACUUCGGCUCAGGUCAUGAUCUCAUGGCUCGUGGGUUCGAGCCCCACGUCGGGCU
This is a non-coding RNA of Felis catus (domestic cat), 85 nucleotides long. NCBI's taxonomy places the organism in Eukaryota, Metazoa, Chordata, Mammalia, Carnivora, Felidae. The record is from Rfam.